UACGUAGGGGUCGAGCGUUGUCCGGAGUUACUGGGCGUAAAGCGCGCGCAGGUGGCUCAUUACGCCCGGCGUGAAAGCCCCCGGCUCAACCGGGGAAGGUCGUCGGGUACGGGUGAGCUUGAGGGUAUCAGGGGCUGGUGGAAUUCCCGGUGUAGUGGUGAAAUGCGUAGAGAUCGGGAGGAACACCCGUGGCGAAGGCGGCUAGCUGGGAUACACCUGACACUGAGGCGCGAAGGCGUGGGGAGCGAACGGG
This 253-nucleotide ribosomal RNA is filed under the name uncultured bacterium. RNAcentral's name for it is "partial 16S ribosomal RNA". It matches the Rfam family "Bacterial small subunit ribosomal RNA", at positions 524 to 776 of the family's 1533-position model. The record is from RNAcentral.